UACGUAGGGUGCGAGCGUUAAUCGGAAUUACUGGGCGUAAAGCGUGCGCAGGCGGUUCGGUAAGACCGAUGUGAAAUCCCCGGGCUUAACCUGGCAACUGCAUUGGUGACAGGCGGGCUAGAGUAUGGCAGAGGGGGGUAGAAUUCCACGUGUAGCAGUGAAAUGCGUAGAGAUGUGGAGGAAUACCGAUGGCGAAGGCAGCCCCCUGGGCCAAUACUGACGCUCAUGCACGAAAGCGUGGGGAGCAAACAGG
This 253-nucleotide ribosomal RNA is filed under the name uncultured bacterium. Its description in RNAcentral is "partial 16S ribosomal RNA". It matches the Rfam family "Bacterial small subunit ribosomal RNA", at positions 524 to 776 of the family's 1533-position model. The record is from RNAcentral.